UUCUUUCUCCACUUUGGCUGCCAUAUUUCUUGUUUGCAUUGAAGUGGGAGGCAGGCUUAUAAUCAGUAUUCUGAAAUGUCAAAAACCCUUCAUUAAAAACACAAUUAAAUUUUACUUUGAUGCAUUGAGAACCAAAUAUACAUUCUUGUUGAUCAUUAAAAACCAAGGAAAGCAACAGUCAAGGACGAAAUUCCCAGAACGACAGUUGCACUUAAUGCCUUUUGAAAUGAAUAAAGACAGUUGUGGUUAAAUUAAGUGUCUCUAAUUUCUAGAGGACUUAAGUGCAACUGACUUUCUAUAUAUCAAGGUCAUUGUGUCUUGCUGCUGUAUGCAGAUUUUGUGGCAAAGACAGAAAUAAAAGGCUUGUUUCUAAAAUAUUUAUAUUGGGUGGAAUGGAAACAAUUCAUAAACCAAGCAAGUCUGUUAAUUUUUUAUAAACAUGUUCACUGAAUUUUCCUCAGAUAGAGCAGCAGUAAUGUUGGCUUGUACUUCCUUAUUCGAGAUGUGUUCUAACGAUGGAUAAAAUUUGGGCUAGGCAAAUGGAAUGGAGUUCAUAUUUUUCUAAAAGAAACAUAUAGCAGCAAGUUGUGUGGGCAUUACCAGGCUUGUAUUUAAAUGUAUCCCUCCAACUAAGUUGUCUUCAGGCAGUGAAGGCUAGGGAGGCGGAGGGGGCUGCUGUAAGAUGAGUUGCCUUGAUGCAAGAAAAAACACACCCUACAGUUGUGUGGGUUGUAGCUUUUGCUUGUAUGAUUUUUAACUUAAAAAUUAGGCAAUGUUCCCUCUUGUAUUCCAAAAAUUUCCUUUUCAUGUUUGUAUUUUUCUCCAAAUUUAGGACAUUGGUAGAUUUUUAUCUGUCUCUUGCGUUCUUCCUGUCGAAUUAGGUCUUUCAUCGGUUACAAUAUUCGGUUGCAGUUGAAUACUGGAAAGUGAAGGGACCUUCUGAAAGGUGUAUCAGAUUAUUUUUAUGGCUUGCAAACAGAUCAGAUAUGCGGCAUUUCUGACGGUGUCGCCUAGUAAGUCAUAACUGGGAGGUUUAAAGAGAGAAAAAUCUUCAGUCUCCUAGCCAUUAAAACAGAUGAUACUGGAGGAAGAUAAUUCUCUUUGGGUUAGCUGUGUGCACCCCCCCAUAGGGUAAUGUCUGACAAAGUUCUUUGUGUGAAUCACUGCAUGCAAGCAGGAUCAGGAACUGCUCCUCCACCUUGCAAAGAGAAAGGUAAACGUGGAACUCAUCCCUGGGACACCUUUUUUAGAGAAAAAAGAAAGGGACAUUAUUCCUGAAUGGGAGUGCUCAUUUUCAGACUGAUACACAUUUGAACCUGUCUUUAUCCUGUAAUGAACUUCAGGUUACAGGUCACUUAACACAAUAGCCCCAGUCCACUUCCACAUACAGGGGAAGUCUGAAGAUGUGUUUGUGGCUUGAAGACAGACUAGAACUAUCCUCCCAUGCUAGUUCUGUGUUGGAUGCUGGAAGUCUGGGUUGGAGAAUGGUUCAGGCUGAACCAAUAAUUAAAAAAAGCAUCAUCUGAAAUGGACACUCAUCUACGAAAGCUUAUGCCAUAAUAUAUCUCUUAGUAUUUAAGGUGCUACAAGACACUUAGUUGUGUUUACUGCCAGCAGACUGACACUGAUUGCUCUUUUCAAAACACUGUCAGUUUGGGUUGAAUUUUUUAUAAAACUACGUGGAUAGAACCCCAGCCAGAGUUAGGAGAAAAGACGUCGACCUCAAUGUCAGAGGAGCCUUGAUGUUUCUGCAGUGGAAGCAAUUCUGAGUUUUUAAGAUGUACAAAAUAUCUUUUAGUAUAUUAAAAACCAACUUCUACAUGCUCUGAACAAUGGGUUUUUUUGGGGGGGGGUGGGGAAGCAUAUGGUCAGGAUCUCCUCCAGUCAACCAGUCAGGAAAGUUUUAAAUUGCAAGAGCAAUUUAUUUUAUUUUCUUUUUUUUCAGCACAUUGACAUCCUAUCUAAUAUAGGGGCACAUCAGUAGUCAGCUGGUAAAAUCUUAUGUGGAUUUAUUAGCAAAUGAGCUUUCAACGUUUAAUACUGUAGCUUACGUUUUAUGAACCAUUUCCUUGUCACAGCAAUGCUGUAGUGUGUAAGUCCAUAAACUAUACAUAUUUGCUAAACUUCUUAAAAUGUCUCUAAACAGGGUAGUCAUCGUUUUUUAUGUCUUUUAAAAAAAUACAUUUCGACAGCAAUUAAAUAUUUGCUGCUUCUAAGCCUCCUGUUUUAUUUUGGAUAUAUGCGAUGAUAUGUGGCUGCUUAACCUGCUGCACUGUUUAUCAAACAAGGGCUCUUUGGUCUACGCCAUCUCUCUCUUUAUCUCAUGUUCAGUCAACAUAAGCAAAACCUCUCAUUUUAAAGGUCUUGGCACAUUUUCUCCAAAGCAAAAAGUUGCUUGCAAAGAUGCUUAUCUCCGUGUGUGCGUACGAUUUUACCACUUUCCCAUCCAACAUUAUAAAGCCCCCAAUUCUUCUCAGCCACCAAGAGAGUGAAACUUGAUACAGUAUUCAUAAGUUCUAAAAAUGGGUGUUGGGUAGGUUGUUGAGCUCCUGUAGCACUUAGUAUGCUAACAUCCAUUGCCGCUGCUACUUAAUUCUUCCUGUUAACAGUAUUAACAUGCAAGUCUCUUGCAACUUCUUCCAUUUACUAAGCUACCAUUUAAUCUUAAAUGUAUUUUAUAAAUGCACCUUUGUUUACUGCUAUUAUUUUAAAAGUGCACUAAAGGAGCCAUGUUGUUCAAUACUAUAUACAUACAUAUAGAUAUUAUAUAUAUAUAUAUAUAUAUAUAUAUAUAUACUUUUUUUUUAAAAAAAUACCAGCAAAGUCCAGAAAGACGUUUCCUUGGAGAAAGCAGAUAGGAAGUGGUGCCUGACCUCUUCCAGGUUUUUUAUUUGAAACUCCGAGGCUUGACAUAUAUGCAAUAUUUUAUUUAUUGAUGUUGCAUCCUGUCUUAAUGUGUAUAUAUCCUUUCUUGCUUUCCCCCCCUCGCCCACUGCGGACUUGUACAUUUCCUUUUAAAGGCUUCUUUUCCCAUCUGUGCAGAUGUGUACAAGCAGCUCCAGAAAGGAACAUCAGUGGAGAUCACAAAUAUCAAAGAAGCAUACCCUUCCUUGGUUUCAGUAUUAUAUGUGACAUGGCCUUUCUGGAUUACAUUUAGGGUUGUCUGUAUUUAUCUUAUGUUCUCUCUUCCUCAUCCCCUUUCAGAUUGCACUAAUGUCUUUCUUUACGUUAUGAAUUAUUGCUAUCAUCCAUGCGAUACAUGUACAUUAUGUUGACAGUGUAACUUGGAAUGCUUUGUGCUGCCUUUUAACUAUUUUUAAAGCUGCUUUUUUUAAAAAAAGAAAAAGG
Molecule: long non-coding RNA, 3348 nt
Organism: Podarcis raffonei (Aeolian wall lizard)
Lineage: Eukaryota; Metazoa; Chordata; Lepidosauria; Squamata; Lacertidae
Exons: 2
Source: RefSeq, a predicted model, not a curated record